This 857-nucleotide ribosomal RNA is filed under the name uncultured bacterium. RNAcentral describes it as "SSU rRNA". It matches the Rfam family "Bacterial small subunit ribosomal RNA", at positions 524 to 1381 of the family's 1533-position model. The record is from RNAcentral.
UACGGGAGUGGCAAGCGUUAUCCGGAAUUAUUGGGCGUAAAGCGUCCGCAGGCGGCCUUGUAAGUCUGUCGUUAAAGCGUGGAGCUUAACUCCAUUUCAGCGAUGGAAACUACAAGGCUUGAGUGUGGUAGGGGCAGAGGGAAUUCCCGGUGUAGCGGUGAAAUGCGUAGAUAUCGGGAAGAACACCAGUGGCGAAGGCGCUCUGCUGGGCCAUCACUGACGCUCAUGGACGAAAGCCAGGGGAGCGAAAGGGAUUAGAUACCCCUGUAGUCCUGGCCGUAAACGAUGAACACUAGGUGUCGGGGGAAUCGACCCCCUCGGUGUCGUAGCCAACGCGUUAAGUGUUCCGCCUGGGGAGUACGCACGCAAGUGUGAAACUCAAAGGAAUUGACGGGGGCCCGCACAAGCGGUGGAGUAUGUGGUUUAAUUCGAUGCAACGCGAAGAACCUUACCAGGGCUUGACAUCCCGCGAACCUCUGAGAAAUCGGAGGGUGCCUUCGGGAACGCGGAGACAGGUGGUGCAUGGCUGUCGUCAGCUCGUGUCGUGAGAUGUUGGGUUAAGUCCCGCAACGAGCGCAACCCACGUUUUUAGUUGCCAGCAUUCAGUUGGGCACUCUAGAAAGACCGCCGGUGAUAAACCGGAGGAAGGUGUGGAUGACGUCAAGUCAUCAUGCCCCUUACGUCCUGGGCUACACACGUACUACAAUGCUACGGACAAAGGGCAGCAAACUCGCGAGAGCUAGCAAAUCCCAUAAACCGUGGCUCAGUUCAGAUCGUAGGCUGCAACCCGCCUACGUGAAGGAGGAAUCGCUAGUAAUCGCAGGUCAGCAUACUGCGGUGAAUACGUUCCCGGGCCU